RNAcentral lists this transfer RNA (76 nucleotides) under Chloroflexota bacterium. Its description in RNAcentral is "Chloroflexi bacterium tRNA-Ala". It matches the Rfam family "tRNA". Rfam says of the family: Transfer RNA (tRNA) molecules are approximately 80 nucleotides in length. Their secondary structure includes four short double-helical elements and three loops (D, anti-codon, and T loops). Lineage: Bacteria; Bacillati; Chloroflexota. The record is from RNAcentral. RNAcentral also lists the same sequence under 2 other names.
GGGGCUGUAGCUCAGCUGGGAGAGCACCUGCUUUGCAAGCAGGGGGUCAGGAGUUCGAGCCUCCUCAGCUCCACCA